CCUACGGGAGGCAGCAGUAGGGAAUCUUCCGCAAUGGACGAAAGUCUGACGGAGCAACGCCGCGUGAACGAUGAAGGCCUUCGGGUCGUAAAGUUCUGUUGUUAGGGAAGAACAAGUGCUAGUUAAAUAAGCUGGCACCUUGACGGUACCUAACCAGAAAGCCACGGCUAACUACGUGCCAGCAGCCGCGGUAAUACGUAGGUGGCAAGCGUUGUCCGGAAUUAUUGGGCGUAAAGCGCGCGCAGGCGGUUUCUUAAGUCUGAUGUGAAAGCCCCCGGCUCAACCGGGGAGGGUCAUUGGAAACUGGGAAACUUGAGUGCAGAAGAGGAAAGUGGAAUUCCAAGUGUAGCGGUGAAAUGCGUAGAGAUUUGGAGGAACACCAGUGGCGAAGGCGACUUUCUGGCCUGUAACUGACGCUGAGGCGCGAAAGCGUGGGGAGCAAACAGGAUUAGAUACCCUGGUAGUCCACGCUGUAAACGAUGAGUGCUAAGUGUUAGAGGGUUUCCGCCCUUUAGUGCUGAAGUUAACGCAUUAAGCACUCCGCCUGGGGAGUACGGUCGCAAGACUGAAACUCAAAGGAUUAGACGG
Molecule: ribosomal RNA, 588 nt
Filed under: uncultured bacterium
Lineage: Bacteria
Description: bacterial SSU rRNA
Rfam family: Bacterial small subunit ribosomal RNA
Source: RNAcentral